RNAcentral lists this ribosomal RNA (495 nucleotides) under uncultured bacterium. RNAcentral's name for it is "partial 16S ribosomal RNA". It matches the Rfam family "Bacterial small subunit ribosomal RNA", at positions 28 to 505 of the family's 1533-position model. The record is from RNAcentral.
GAUGAACGCUGGCGGCGUGCCUAAUACAUGCAAGUCGAGCGAACGGACGAGAAGCUUGCUUCUCUGAUGUUAGCGGCGGACGGGUGAGUAACACGUGGAUAACCUACCUAUAAGACUGGGAUAACUUCGGGAAACCGGAGCUAAUACCGGAUAAUAUUUUGAACCGCAUGGUUCAAAAGUGAAAGACGGUCUUGCUGUCACUUAUAGAUGGAUCCGCGCUGCAUUAGCUAGUUGGUAAGGUAACGGCUUACCAAGGCAACGAUGCAUAGCCGACCUGAGAGGGGAACGGGCACAAGUGAACCGGAGACCGGGCCGAGCCUCCACGGGGGGGAGGAGGUGGGAAUUCUACCGCAGGGGGAAAAACCUGAAGGGCCAAACGAGGGGGGGGAAAGAAGGUUUUUGGGACGGAAAAACUCUUUUUUGGGGAAUAAAAAUAUGUGAAAGUAACUGUCCAAAUUGGGAGGGACCAAAAGAAAAAGCCCGGGAGAACCUACG